RNAcentral lists this ribosomal RNA (606 nucleotides) under uncultured Bacillota bacterium. RNAcentral's name for it is "bacterial SSU rRNA". It matches the Rfam family "Bacterial small subunit ribosomal RNA", at positions 776 to 1396 of the family's 1533-position model. Lineage: Bacteria; Bacillati; Bacillota. The record is from RNAcentral.
GAUUAGUACCCUGGUAGUCCACGCCGUAAACGAUGAGCACUAGGUGUCGGGGCCGCAAGGUUUCGGGCCCGCAGUUAACGCAUUAAGUGCUCCGCCUGGGGAGUACGCACGCAAGUGUGAAACUCAAGGAAUUGACGGGGACCCGCACAAGCAGCGGAGCAUGUGGUUUAAUUCGAAGCAACGCGAGAACCUUACCAGGGCUUGACAUCCUUCUGACCGGAACUUAACCGUUCCUUUCUUCGGACAAAGUGACAGGUGGUGCAUGGUUGUCGUCAGCUCGUGUCGUGAGAUGUUGGGUUAAGUCCCCAACGAGCGCAACCCUUGUCGUUAGUUACUAACAUUCAGUUGAGGACUCUAAUGAGACUGCGUGGAUAACACGGAGGAAGGUGGGGAUGACGUCAAAUCAUCAUGCCCCUUAUGUCCUGGCUACACACGUGCUACAAUGGUCGGUACAAAGAGACGCGAGACAGCGAUGUGGAGCAAAUCCAAAAGCCGAUCCCAGUUCGGAUUGCAGGCUGCAACUCGCCUGCAUGAAGUCGGAGUUGCAGUAAUCGUGGAUCAGAAUGCCACGGUGAAUGCGUUCCCGGGUCUUGCACACACCGCCCG